UUCACUCGCAUUUCGUUUAGAAACCCUCAGUUUACGUAAGCCUCACCGAUCGCCGGAGAAUCGCCACGAAACCGUCGCCUGUCGCCGGAAAUUAGCUUCAGCAACUUUCUAUCUAGGUUGAUAUAUGGACAUGGUCGAUGAUAGGAUUUCGUGUAGACGUUGAAUUAAGAGUAACCUCGUGUGACCACACAUCCAUCUCAACAUCCUCAUCUCUGCUUCUUCCAUCUUGCGCGCUUAAGUCUUCUUGAUGGCCCAAUAGUCUGUCCCAUAUAACAAAGACCAA
This 283-nucleotide long non-coding RNA is filed under the name Helianthus annuus (common sunflower). RNAcentral's name for it is "hypothetical non coding rna". Lineage: Eukaryota; Viridiplantae; Streptophyta; Magnoliopsida; Asterales; Asteraceae. The record is from RNAcentral.